Molecule: ribosomal RNA, 393 nt
Filed under: uncultured bacterium
Lineage: Bacteria
Description: partial 16S ribosomal RNA
Rfam family: Bacterial small subunit ribosomal RNA
Source: RNAcentral
AUACGGAGGAUCCGAGCGUUAUCCGGAUUUAUUGGGUUUAAAGGGAGCGUAGGUGGACAUGUAAGUCAGUUGUGAAAGUUUGCGGCUCAACCGUAAAAUUGCAGUUGAUACUGUGUGUCUUGAGUACAGUAGAGGUGGGCGGAAUUCGUGGAGUAGCGGUGAAAUGCUUAGAUAUCACGAAGAACUCCGAUUGCGAAGGCAGCUCACUGGACUGUUACUGACACUGAGGCUCGAAAGUGUGGGUAUCAAACAGGAUUAGAUACCCUGGUAGUCCACACAGUAAACGAUGAAUACUCGCUGUUUGCGAUAUACGGCAAGCGGCCAAGCGAAAGCAUUAAGUAUUCCACCUGGGGAGUACGCCGGCAACGGUGAAACUCAAAUGAAUUGACGGGG